AUUGAACGCUGGCGGAAUGCUUUACACAUGCAAGUCGAACGGCAGCACGGGGCAACCUGGUGGCGAGUGGCGAACGGGUGAGUAAUACAUCGGAACGUGCCCAAUCGUGGGGGGAUAACGUAGCGAAAGUUACGCUAAUACCGCAUACGAUCUACGGAUGAAAGCGGGGGAUCGCAAGACCUCGCGCGAUUGGAGCGGCCGAUGUCAGAUUAGGUAGUUGGUGGGGUAAAGGCUCACCAAGCCGACGAUCUGUAGCUGGUCUGAGAGGACGACCAGCCACACUGGGACUGAGACACGGCCCAGACUCCUACGGGAGGCAGCAGUGGGGAAUUUUGGACAAUGGGCGCAAGCCUGAUCCAGCCAUUCCGCGUGCAGGAUGAAGGCCUCGGUUGUAAC
This 396-nucleotide ribosomal RNA is filed under the name uncultured bacterium. Its description in RNAcentral is "bacterial SSU rRNA". It matches the Rfam family "Bacterial small subunit ribosomal RNA", at positions 30 to 429 of the family's 1533-position model. The record is from RNAcentral.